CCCUAUUAUAAUUUAAUGUAAAUAUAAUUUUGAGUAGUAUAUGUUUUUGACAGGAAACUUAAAGAAUUUGGCGGUGUAUAUUCUAAUUAGAGGAAUAUGUUUUUUAAUUGAUACUCCACAUUAAUCUUACUUAAAUUUAUUUAUUUUGUAUAUCUCCGUCUUAAAAAAAUUUUUUAAAAUAUUUUUUAAUUUUUAUAAUAUAAAAUAAGUCAGGUCAAGGUGCAGAUUAUAUUUAAGUUAAAAUGUAUUACGAUAAAUUUAUUUUUGGUUUAGAAUUAAAAUAAUUUUAUUAAAUUGGAUUUAUAAGUAAAUAUUUUUUUAUUAUAAUUUAUUGAAUAAUGUUAAUAUACAUGCACACAUC
RNAcentral lists this ribosomal RNA (361 nucleotides) under Metylophorus purus. RNAcentral's name for it is "partial 12S ribosomal RNA". The record is from RNAcentral. Lineage: Eukaryota; Metazoa; Arthropoda; Insecta; Psocodea; Psocidae.